RNAcentral lists this long non-coding RNA (1139 nucleotides) under Homo sapiens (human). Its description in RNAcentral is "androgen receptor regulated long noncoding RNA 1". The record is from RNAcentral. Lineage: Eukaryota; Metazoa; Chordata; Mammalia; Primates; Hominidae.
UUUUUUUUUUUUUUUUUUUUUUUUUUAGUCCAUUCAGCCACUGUAUGUCUUUUGAUUGGAGCAUUUAAUUCAUUUACACUCAAUUAAUGAUAGGUGAGAUUCCAGUGUUUCCUCCAGAAAGGCACAUUAUUCCUCCACCAUGGUCUUCUUUUUCCUGUGUACCUUGACCCUGUAGGAGAUGAGACUUCUAAAGUGAUUCCUUUCCCUCUUUUCUCCUCAUCACCCCUUCCCACUCUCUAAGGUUUUCAGGUGCUGGUUCCAUGGCUCUUCCUGAGCCGAAAAUAAGGAAACUCCAUAGACCUUGUCCACUGGAACUCGUUCCCAUCUACCCUCCACUCUAUCCAGGGUGAUGGAUCUCUGCAGAAAGAACCCAUAGAAACACAAGGAAGAAGGUCAUGUGAAGAUGGAGGCAGAGAUUGGAGGGAUGCAGCCACCGGCCCAGGAAUGCCAGCAGCCACCCAGAAGCUGGAAGGAAAUGAGGGAUUCUCUCCUAGAACCUUUAGAGAGAACAUGGUCCUGUGAACAGCUUGAUUUUGGACUUGCCCAUAGCUUGUAUACUCUUACUUUGGAUACAAUUUUAUCCAAACUUGGCUAAACAGUUUCUCAGCCUAUGGAAAAUUUAAAAUGGAGAAGAUUCAACUCGAUUCUUACAGAUUCAAAGCAAGAAAAUGAUGGGAACAUAGGAGGAGACCAAGAAAGCCUAUAAAAAGCAAAAAUAUGAAGUGAACAUUGUGGUAGCUUUAAGAUGUUUAGUGUAGCUGCAGGCACCCUAUACACAUGAAAACCCCCAAGGGGAAUCCCCAUAUCACAGUGUAGUGUGAUAUUUGACAUUCGUGAUCAUCUAGAGAUGUACAGAAAAGGUGAAUCUGUGUUCUGUAUAUUCUGCCUAAGGCAAAGAAAUGUUUAGCUCUCUUUAAAAUAGUUCCAUAAUUUUUUCUAAAAAGCUUUGCUUGAAAACUGUAAGCUUCCCAUAUCUGGAGCAUUUCACUUUAAAUAUUUGGAUAAAUAUGUUAUCUUCUUACUUGGACAUUUCAUGUGUUUAGGGAUUGUCUUCUAAAUUCUUCCUAAUUCAUAUAGCUGCUAACACUUCCCGCAGAGCUAAACCAUUACAGAUAUGAAAUAAAGACCUAUUGAUUUGA